This 253-nucleotide ribosomal RNA is filed under the name uncultured bacterium. RNAcentral describes it as "partial 16S ribosomal RNA". It matches the Rfam family "Bacterial small subunit ribosomal RNA", at positions 524 to 776 of the family's 1533-position model. The record is from RNAcentral.
UACGUAGGUGGCAAGCGUUGUCCGGAGUUAUUGGGCGUAAAGCGCGCGCAGGCGGUGCGGUAAGUCUCUGGUGAAAGCGCUCGGCUUAACUGGGCGAGGGCCGGGGAGACUGCCACGCUGGAGGGGAGCAGAGGCGAGUGGAAUUCCGGGUGUAGUGGUGAAAUGCGUAGAGAUCCGGAGGAACACCAGUGGCGAAGGCGGCUCGCUGGGCGAUACCUGACGCUGAGGCGCGAAAGCGUGGGGAGCGAACCGG